Molecule: ribosomal RNA, 478 nt
Filed under: uncultured bacterium
Lineage: Bacteria
Description: partial 16S ribosomal RNA
Rfam family: Bacterial small subunit ribosomal RNA
Source: RNAcentral
AUGCACGCUCGCGGGAGGCCUCACCCCUGCCAGCCGAGCGGUAGAGUCUCUUCGGAGCCUUGAGAGCGGCGCACGGGUGCGGAACACGUGUGCAACCUGCCUUUAUCUGGGGGAUAGCCUUUCGAAGGGAAGAUUAAUACCCCAUAAUAUACUGGAUGGCAUCAUCUGGUAUUGAAAACUCCGGUGGAUAGAGAUGGGCACGCGCAAGAUUAGAUAGUUGGUGAGGUAACGGCUCACCAAGUCAGCGAUCUUUAGGGGGCCUGAGAGGGUGAUCCCCCACACUGGUACUGAGACACGGACCAGACUCCUACGGGAGGCAGCAGUGAGGAAGAUUGGACAAUGGGUGAGAGCCUGAUCCAGCCAUCCCGCGUGAAGGACGACGGCCCUAUGGGUUGUAAACUUCUUUUGUAUAGGGAUAAACCUAGAUACGUGUAUCUAGCUGAAGGUACUAUACGAAUAAGCACCGGCUAACUCCGUG